Transfer RNA from Conidiobolus coronatus NRRL 28638, 73 nucleotides. It matches the Rfam family "tRNA". Rfam says of the family: Transfer RNA (tRNA) molecules are approximately 80 nucleotides in length. Their secondary structure includes four short double-helical elements and three loops (D, anti-codon, and T loops). Lineage: Eukaryota; Fungi; Entomophthoromycota; Entomophthoromycetes; Entomophthorales; Conidiobolaceae. The record is from Rfam.
GCCUCUUUAGCUCAGUUGGGAGAGCGUCAGACUGAAGUUCUGAAGGUCCCGUGUUCAAUCCACGGAGGGGGCA